GUAAGCGGCGUGUGCCUAAUACAUGCAGUUCGUACGCACUGGCCCAACUGAUUGAUGGUGCUUGCACCGGGAUUGACGAUGGAUUACCAGUGAGUGGCGGACGGGUGAGUAACACGUGGGUAACCUGCCCCGGAGCGGGGGAUAACAUUUGGAAACAGAUGCUAAUACCGCAUAACAACGAAAACCACAUGGUUUUCGCUUGAAAGAUGGCUUAUGCUAUCACUCUGGGAUGGACCCGCGGUGCAUUAGCUAGUUGGUAAGGUAACGGCUUACCAAGGCGAUGAUGCAUAGCCGAGUUGAGAGACUGAUCGGCCACAAUGGAACUGAGACACGGUCCAUACUCCUACGGGAGGCAGCAGUAGGGAAUCUUCCACAAUGGGCGCAAGCCUGAUGGAGCAACACCGCGUGAGUGAAGAAGGGUUUCGGCUCGUAAAGCUCUGUUGUUGGAGAAGAAGUAUCUGAGAGUAACUGUUCAGGUAGUGACGGUAUCCAACCAGAAAGUCACGGCUAACUACGUGCCAGCAGCCGCGGUUAAUAA
RNAcentral lists this ribosomal RNA (538 nucleotides) under Limosilactobacillus reuteri. RNAcentral's name for it is "bacterial SSU rRNA". It matches the Rfam family "Bacterial small subunit ribosomal RNA", at positions 39 to 526 of the family's 1533-position model. The record is from RNAcentral. Lineage: Bacteria; Bacillati; Bacillota; Bacilli; Lactobacillales; Lactobacillaceae.